CCCAGGGACACCGCCAAAUCAUUGUCAGAUUUUACACUCAGGUCUGAGCCGCCGCCAUUAGACCCCCUUUCUUGCUCCUAUCCUCACAGAGGAGGAGCCGAGGUUGCCAGCAGCAUUGUCAUGUCCUGUCCUCGCUACCCAAGGAUCCACCGUGUCUCACAACUCAUUCCAGGCCACUUGGAACCAGAAACCACAGUAAAGGCUCUUACCCAUGUUCCCGCAUCUCUCUGCCUCCUGACUGGCCCUGGUGUUUCCCUGAGUGGCCCCCACCCCUCAGCAUGUCAAGUCCUCUCCUUGGGAUCUCCUAGAAGUUCGUGAUCAUUGAUCGCAGCAACAGAAGCGAGCCAAUGCAGCUGUCCCUGCCCCUGCAGGGACCAGGGUGCCUGGUGAACCACUGAACCACGCCAUCCUGUUCCUCUCAUAUACACGGGCCAGAGAACAAGGGUCAGCUCCCACAGACGUAGACAAAAGCAAUCGGCUCGCAAAAAAUGUACGUGCUGGACUUUUCCAGGGUCACAGAAAGGACACACUGCUACAGCAAUUCCACUGUUAUUUUGAAUUUUCUCUUUAAAGACACUUACAAGUAAAGAAUGGAGAAGACAAUGGCACCCCACUCCAGUACUCUUGCCUGGAAAAUCCCAU
Molecule: long non-coding RNA, 642 nt
Organism: Bubalus bubalis (water buffalo)
Lineage: Eukaryota; Metazoa; Chordata; Mammalia; Artiodactyla; Bovidae
Exons: 3
Source: RefSeq, a predicted model, not a curated record